UAAGGAAUAUUGGUCAAUGGACGCAAGUCUGAACCAGCCAUGCCGCGUGGAGGAUGAAGGUCCUCUGGAUUGUAAACUUCUUUUAUCUGGGACGAAAAAGGGGCUUUCUAGCUCAACUGACGGUACCAGAUGAAUAAGCACCGGCUAACUCCGUGCCAGCAGCCGCGGUAAUACGGAGGGUGCAAGCGUUAUCCGGAUUCACUGGGUUUAAAGGGUGCGUAGGUGGGUUGGUAAGUCAGUGGUGAAAUCCCCGAGCUUAACUUGGGAACUGCCAUUGAUACUAUCAGUCUUGAAUACCGUGGAGGUCAGCGGAAUAUGUCAUGUAGCGGUGAAAUGCUUAGAUAUGACAUAGAACACCAAUUGCGAAGGCAGCUGACUACGCGAAUAUUGACACUGAUGCACGAAAGCGUGGGGAUCAAACAG
RNAcentral lists this ribosomal RNA (423 nucleotides) under uncultured bacterium. Its description in RNAcentral is "bacterial SSU rRNA". It matches the Rfam family "Bacterial small subunit ribosomal RNA", at positions 355 to 775 of the family's 1533-position model. The record is from RNAcentral.